This 535-nucleotide long non-coding RNA is filed under the name Musa acuminata (dwarf banana). RNAcentral's name for it is "long non-coding RNA (MACU_LNC006799)". The record is from RNAcentral. Lineage: Eukaryota; Viridiplantae; Streptophyta; Magnoliopsida; Zingiberales; Musaceae.
GAAAUUUUCAAUCAAUGUAUAUCUCUUUGCAUAAUAUUGAUGACAUGAUAUGUAUGAAGCCUUCCACGAUGUGCAUAUCUCUUUGCAUACUUGUCAAACCUUGUUUUUCAGAUUUAUUUAAUGAAGAUAGAAAUGAGCUUCUAAUCAUUCCAUGGUGGUGGAAACUCAUUCAUGAUUAUGGACAAGGUAUUCUGAUCCUUCUUGUUGUCUCUGCUAAUUCUAUUACACUGGCCUAAUGCCUUGAACUUGUUUCAGAGCCCAAGGGAUUGUCAUAGACAGAGAAGAGUGAGCGAAAAUAAGAUAAAUGGAGAAGAAAACCUUGUGAAGCUUCGAAAGUUGAGUUUUUCCAAUUGGUUUUGAUUAGCUUAAAUCUCAAUCGUAUUCUUUAUGAAGUUAAAUGCAGGGCUGCUUAUCCAUAUGGCUUCGGAGCUGCUUAUACAACAUGAUUAUUUCAUCUGUCCUCUAAAUUAUUAAGAUCAAUCUGUUGUGACUUUGAAGCACUUGUCUGGGAACAUUAAAAUUGGGAAUUAGUGCC